CAUUUUCAUGCAUGAAUCAUUCAUAUAGCAGGCAUUGCUCAAUUUAUUGAUAAGUUUCAGUGCGAGAACUGAACCAAGGUUGAAGUAUAUAUCUGCUACAAUAUAGGCACCAGAAAAAGCAAAACAACUACGAGAAGUAUACAUAAGUAGAAAUAGAAGGUGAUCCAAUCUGGCUGGCUAGGGCCGGUCUUUGAAAUCUUUAGAUUAGAAGCUAUAAUGUUUUGCAAAUUUAUCCAAUACAAAUAUACAGUUAGGCUAUAUGUUUUCGUAUUUUCAGAAAUUGGCUUCUAACUUAUGUGGCAAUUAUAUUUAAACAUUCAUGCUGAAGGAUUAGGCAUUCUGCUCACUGCCCGAUUAAUUAAUUGGUACCAUCUUAAAUACAAAAUUACAAGUAUCUUUAUGUUGGAUAGUUGUUCUGACAAGAGAUGCUUGUGGAGGAAUAUCGGGGUGACUGCAUACUGACACAAGAAGGCUAGAACAAUGACUCGAAAAUCGGUUUUCUUGGUAUAGGCGAUGGAAAUGUACAAGAGUGCUAAAAUAAUGGUUGAUGGUCUAAUUGAGUGAAGAUAAAAGACUAAAAAGUUUUGAUCUACAUGCUACAAUCAAGCCAUCAGUAGAUCAAUAGGAAGGUGUGCACUUGAAAUUUGUCAUGACUUACUUCCAGGUGUUCCCUGCGGCCACUGCCUCGCCCGUGCUCCGGUAAUUUUCGCAAAACAACAACUGCCUAGAACACAAAUUAGUCUCAUCAUCUCAACAAAUCACAUGCAGAAGAGAGAAGAAACUUGGCACAAAGCAAACAAUUAAAAUUAGAGGGAGAUAGGUACAAGUCAAGAAAAAAACCUUGCUGUGUUGUCAAAAAAGGAGAGGCAGCACAUCAAUAGUGGAACUGUCGGAAUGAUCCCUAGAGCGAAUAGUGGUUGGAUUCGUCGAGCAGCCCACAUGACAGGCAGUGUCGGCUGCCAUCCUCAAGAAUACCGUGGUGGCGCAUCCAGCUCUGGUUCCGGAGGUUCAUUGCCGCCCCGCGGAUAUUCAUCCCCUCUUCGCCCGAGCAGCGGUGGCAGGAUGCACUCUCAGCAUCUACUGGUUCGUGGCUCUCAGAUGCGUGAGCGCUUCCCCAAUAAAUGGUUGCAGGUCGGACAAGGCUCACAUAGUAAGUUGUGUAUGUAUGCUACGCGACCUGGGCAGAAGGACAUGCUAGAUGUGAUGAAUCGGUGGCGCAGGCCAUGGGGAGCAUUGUAGUGUACUCGAUCUGCUUCAAUUGUACUCGAUCUGCUUGAAUUGGGGAAAGAUAGUGGCAAGUAGUGUCACGGGAGAGAAAGAAAAAGCUAGAAGGGGAUCUGACAGAAUGCCUGUGACUAUUCGGUGUGGGGGUGUUGCUUCGUGCAUGCCCAUGGGAGUAUCAGGAAUAAGCGGUCAGGGCUGUCCUAUCACUUCUGUGUAAAUUGUGUAUGUUAUUACUAUUUCUUUACUUAUUUAAAUAUAGAAAUUACUGUUGGC
Lolium perenne is the source of this 1497-nucleotide non-coding RNA. NCBI's taxonomy places the organism in Eukaryota, Viridiplantae, Streptophyta, Magnoliopsida, Poales, Poaceae. The record is from RefSeq and is a predicted model, not a curated record.